AUCGAAAAAGCUUGAAGUUGAAAGGUAGGUGGAGAAGACUGGGAGGUAUUAUUAUGGUACUUGAAACAUUGGACAGAUAUCAUAUUGUGCUGGGACGUGGAAGCAUGACUUGGAGGGAGANNNNNGGGAGAGAGAGUGCUGAAUGGUAGUUGUCCGUGAGGAUUUUGGAGUUGAAGCACGCAGAAGAGAAGCAUGGAAUGGUAGUUGCGGGAGAUAAUCUCCAGUACACAUU
This 232-nucleotide unclassified non-coding RNA is filed under the name Hevea brasiliensis (rubber tree). Lineage: Eukaryota; Viridiplantae; Streptophyta; Magnoliopsida; Malpighiales; Euphorbiaceae. The record is from RNAcentral.